AAUUCUUGCAACCAAAAGAAAUUCAACGAGAAUUGUUAGCAACGUAAAAUUUUGCGGUUCUAAAGGAGUACGGUGUAAUCUUUUCCAAGAAUAUCAUACAGAUUUUUCCCUACUCCAGGUAUGUUAAGGCUAUUCCUUCUUUCUUUUUGGCAUGAUCCAAAUAAUAUGGAAGAAACGAGCAAACACACAGUUUUUAUAAACGACUCUAUUUAUAGAAAUACUAGGGGUCUCUAUGUUCUUGAUUCCCCAUGUGACAUAUUAUUCUAUCAUCUGUUCAUGAGUCUCAAAAAUACGUAAGUUGGUAAAGUUUAUUUCAUGAUAUCAAUUAGAGGCAUAAUGGUCUUAUGAUGUACCGAGAGAUUUUAUUAACGUAUUUCAUAUGCAUUUCAUGCAUUUAUACAUGCACAUUGAUCCAUGACAAGAUAAUGUUAUAUACACGUAUAUAUAUAUAUAUAUAUAUAUAUAUAUAUAUGUAUAUAUAUGUAUAUAUAUGUAUAUAUAUGUAUAUGAGAUAUGGAAAAGCUUAUGGAAUUAUAUACGCACCACCAACUAAUCAGCUGGUAUACGUUGAUGAUUUUGCCCACAAUGGUCGAGAUGAUAUGAUGGGAUGCCCUCAGAGGUCUGAUGAUGUUAUGAAAUAUGUACCUAUACACGACAUGACAUUCAUACGCAUAUGCAUGACACUAUAGUUAUUUCAUGAUUUACAGAGUUAUCCAGAUUUACAGGUUGAGUCAUUUACUCUAUAUUUCUUCCAUGUCUGUUAUGUACUUAUUUAUGUGCCUUACAUACUCGGCACAUUAUUCGUACUGACGUCUCUUUUGCCUGGGGACACUGCGUUUCAUGCCCGCAGGUCCCGAUAGACAGGUCAAGAGCCCUUCAAGUAAGCUAUCAGCUCAACGAAAGAUGUUGGUGCGCUCCAUUUUCUUCGGAAUUGCUUGUUGGGUUAGUAUGAUUUAGACGUGUAUUGUUUGGUAUGGCGGGAAUCUGUCCUGACCUUUAUGAAAAUUAUGUAUUCUUAGAGGCUUGUAGACAGAUAUCAUGUACGUAAACGAUUGUAUGGCCUUGUCGGCCUAUGUUCAGUAUACGAGUG
RNAcentral lists this long non-coding RNA (1090 nucleotides) under Nicotiana tabacum (common tobacco). Its description in RNAcentral is "long non-coding RNA (NTAB_LNC019505)". Lineage: Eukaryota; Viridiplantae; Streptophyta; Magnoliopsida; Solanales; Solanaceae. The record is from RNAcentral.